UACGAAGGGGGCUAGCGUUGUUCGGAUUUACUGGGCGUAAAGCGCACGUAGGCGGAUUGUUAAGUGAGAGGUGAAAUCCCGGAGCUCAACUCCGGAACUGCCUUUCAUACUGGCAAUCUAGAGUCCGGAAGAGGUGAGUGGAACUCCUAGUGUAGAGGUGGAAUUCGUAGAUAUUAGGAAGAACACCAGUGGCGAAGGCGGCUCACUGGUCCGGGUACUGACGCUGGAGGUGCGAAAGCGUGGGGAGCAAACAGGAUUAGAAACCCU
This 267-nucleotide ribosomal RNA is filed under the name uncultured bacterium. Its description in RNAcentral is "partial 16S ribosomal RNA". It matches the Rfam family "Bacterial small subunit ribosomal RNA", at positions 524 to 788 of the family's 1533-position model. The record is from RNAcentral.